This 511-nucleotide long non-coding RNA is filed under the name Mytilus galloprovincialis (Mediterranean mussel). The record is from RNAcentral. Lineage: Eukaryota; Metazoa; Mollusca; Bivalvia; Mytilida; Mytilidae.
ACAAAAAACUUUUUUUUUUUAUAAUUCUUUAUUUGGUAUUUCUUCAUCUCAUACAAUAUCUAUAUGCAUUUUUUUUUAUAAAGAAGAAUACAAUACAAGUUUAUUCAUUUUGACCUGUCAGUGUCAGUGCUUAUAAACAUCCCCUUCCCUAUACCAAAUAAACCCCCAAAAAAACCCCAAAAAACAAAAAACAAAAAACUAAACUAAAAACAAAACAAAACAAAAGAACAAUACAAAAACAAAAAGUACAAAAAACAAACAAACAAAAAAUAAAUAAAAUAAAAUAAAUAUAAAAAAUCAUUGACUUAUAUUCAUAAAUGAUUAAAUUGGUAUUAAACGAUUAUAAUUAUUAUUUAUGCAAUCUAAUUAUUCUAUUCAUACAUGUACUCAUAUCAUAAUAUAUAUAGUGGCAUACUCUAACAAUAUCUGGAAAAGAUCCCAGUGAGCUAUUUCCAUAUGCAAAAUUUCUUUCCAUUUAUUUUGUGAUUUUGUGGGGUUUUUAUGAUAAGUA